GCUUGUCAUGCAACAAAUCUCUUGUAUCUUCACAAGCUACUCGGCAAGACGGCACACGAGCUCCUCACCGAUAACAAACCCCAAGUUGGAUACUUUCGAGUAUUCGGCUCAAAGUGCUACAUUCUUGAUAAGCAUCGUUGUUCUAAAUUUGCUCCUAAAUCUCAUGAAGGUUUCCUACUUGGUUAUGGCUCAAACUCUCACACUUACCGUGUCUACAACAAUUUCACCCGAAAGGUUGAAGAGACGGUAGAUGUGAAGUUUGAUGAAUCUAACGGCUCGCAAGUAGAGCAAUUGCCAAUUGAUGUAGGAGGCAAAGACCCUUCGGAAGCAAUUCAAGACUUGUCCAUUGGCAAGAUUCGUCCAACGGAAGUGAAGGAGAGUACCUCGUCCGUCCAAGUGGAAGCUUCUACCUCACGAUAA
Molecule: ribosomal RNA, 420 nt
Filed under: Triticum aestivum (bread wheat)
Lineage: Eukaryota; Viridiplantae; Streptophyta; Magnoliopsida; Poales; Poaceae
Description: partial small subunit ribosomal RNA
Source: RNAcentral